CCUACGGGAGGCAGCAGUGGGGAAUAUUGCGCAAUGGGCGAAAGCCUGACGCAGCGACGCCGCGUGAGGGAUGAAGGUCUUCGGAUCGUAAACCUCUGUCAGCAGGGAAGAACGGUCACUGUGCUAAUCAGCAGUGAAUUGACGGUAACUGCAAAGGAAGCACCGGCUAACUCCGUGCCAGCAGCCGCGGUAAUACGGAGGGUGCGAGCGUUAAUCGGAAUUACUGGGCUUGAAGCGCUCGUAGGCGGGUGGAUAAGUUGAAUGUGAAAUCUAUGGGCGCAAACCAUAGCUGCGUUCGAAACUGUUCGUCUUGAGUGAAGUAGAGGCAGGCGGAAUUCCUAGUGUAGCGGUGAAAUGCGUAGAUAUCACGCAGAACUCCGAUUGCGAAGGCAGCAUACCGGCGCUCAACUGACGCUCAUGCACGAAAGUGUGGGUAUCGAACAGGAUUAGAUACCCUUGUAGUC
This 464-nucleotide ribosomal RNA is filed under the name uncultured bacterium. Its description in RNAcentral is "partial 16S ribosomal RNA". It matches the Rfam family "Bacterial small subunit ribosomal RNA", at positions 338 to 795 of the family's 1533-position model. The record is from RNAcentral.